GAGUCUUCGGCGGGCUCGCGAGCCCGGCCGCGGCCUACUGGUUUCAGACGGAGUCUUACUCUCUCUCCCGGUCUGGAGUGCAGUGGCGUGAUCUCGGCUCAAUGUAACCUCCACCCUCCGGGUUCAAGGGGUUCUCCUGCCUCAGCCUCCCAAGUAGCUAGGACCACAGGUGCAUACCAUCGCGCCUGGCUAAUUUUUUUGUAUUUUUUGUAGAGACGGGGUUUUGCUGUGUUGCCCAGGCUGGUCUCCAACUCCUGGUCUCAAGCUACCUGCCUCAGUUUCCCAAAGUGCUGGGAUUAUAGGCGUGGGCCACAGCUCCUGGGAGUAGACAGUGCGGCCCCCUAGAUUCUGCUCUUUUUAGUCCAUUUCUACCCUUUGUCUUCCUGAAGGCUGAGUUGCGUAAUGUCUCUUGAGUACAUC
Molecule: small RNA, 420 nt
Filed under: Pan troglodytes (chimpanzee)
Lineage: Eukaryota; Metazoa; Chordata; Mammalia; Primates; Hominidae
Description: retained intron
Source: RNAcentral